UCAGGAGCGGGGCCGGGGCAGCGGGAGCGGGUCCGGGCUGUCAGGAGCGGGGCCGGGCUAUCAGGAGCGGGGCUCUCCCCGGCCGUGCCCGCGCUGCCCCGGGAGCUCCGUGCGGCUCCCCCAUGGAGGCGGGCGGCGGCUCGGGCGGCAGCCGGGACUCGCUGGGCAGCCUGACGGCGGGCGAGGUGCUGGUGCGCUCCACGGCGGCCCGCAGGGAGCAGCCCCCGGCCGGUAGCGGCGCCAGGAGGGGCCCGGGGCCGGGGCCGGUACCGGGGGCCGGGGCCGUGCAGAAGCUCCGUGCCGGCGGCUCGCCCUGCCCCGCGGAUGCGGCUGCGGACGGAGCUCCCCGGGCUCCGGGGGGCACCGGGACCGGCACCGCUGCAGGAGUCCUAAGCACCAAAGCAUAUCCAGAGUGUCUGCUUCCAGUUGAAAAUUCAGAGCCCAUGUUUUUAUCCCAAAUGGGUCCUCCAAAAGAAGCUGCAGCACAAGAUGAUCGUUUGGGGCUGCUGGAAAAUAGCAGAGGACCUGAAGAUGAUGUUUUUAUUUCCCAGUAUGCUACUGGCCAGAAGGAGGCUCUGAGAGCAGUGUUAAUGCAAAAAACUCAGGUUAUUCCUGUUCAUAAGGAGGUGAAGGUGCAGCUCUUGGGAAAUGCCUCCACAGAAAAAAGGGAAGGUGCUGGGAGUGACACCAGGACAGCAGCCAGGGAAGUUGAGUCUGCAACAACCAUUGCAGCAGCCACUGCUGCUGCCAUUGCCAGCACAGCUCCACUCCUCAAGGUUCAAAAUGAUUUGGAAGCAAAAGUGAACUCAGUUUCAGAAUUGCUUCAGAAACUGCAGGAUACAGACAGGCAGCUGCAACGAGUGUCUGAACAGCAAAAAAAUACAAAGGCUCAACAUGAGGAGCCCCACUACCAGCAGAGAGUCAGUGAGCUUGAAAAACAAAUGAAUGCCUUCAUGGUGCAGAGGAUUCAGCACCUGGAAAAGCUACAGGAGCAACAAAUGAAUAUUCAGUCCCAUCUCAUCAGCUCUGCAGUGAGCACCCGUGGCCUGCAGCAGGGUCCUGUGCCUGCCCCUGGGCCCCUGGCAGGGCACUGGGAGAAGCCAGAGCAGAGAUCACUCACUAAUGAAGCACCUUCAUCUCACAGGGGUUUAUUUCCUGCCAGUGCUGCAGCUGCCCAAGUGUUCCCUGAAGCAUAUUCAAGCAAUUUUCCAAGUCAUGGGGGUCUUACACAAAAAUCUCCUCUAAAGACACCAGUGCCUCGAAGAUAUGCUCCAGAACCUGUACCCAAAAAUGGGAAGAUCUCAGAGAAAGAAAACUCUGUAGUAGAAAAAGAAAAUACUCCCAAACCUACAAGAGAAGGUGAAGGGAAGGGUCUGGAACACGUUUUGAAUUCUCAAGAAACACAACUAAAGCAAAUGGAAUAUUCCAAGAAGACAGCAUUAAACAGCAAUGAAAGGAACUGGCAUGCUGACAGAGACAGACACAAUGCUUUGCCUGCAGACUUAUUUCCCUCUUUUGAAAGCUACAACUCAAUUGAGAAGACAGUGCAAAAAGCAGAUGAUUUACUUCAAGAUCUUGGAAAGCUGAGAAGAGAAAUGCACAACAUUCUGCAGGAAGCAAGUUCAUGGAAAUCUGACAUGACUGAUCUUAUUAAGACAAAAAAUCCUCCUGUUGUACCUGAUCCUCCUGAACAUCAUCCAGUCAGCAAACCAUCCAUCCUUCAAAAUGUCCAAGUGCCAAGGUCUAUUCUGACAGAUGCUGAAAGGAUUUUGAGAGGAGUGCAAAACAAUAAAAAAGUCCUUGAGGAGAAUCUGGAAGCUGUUACUCAAGCAAAAGAUGGAGAUGCCAUGUAUGCUUUCAGUAACUCCUUGAGUACAAACAGAGAUGUCCUGGAAGAGAUUCGUAUCCGAAGGACUGUGGAUGAGUGGAUCAAGGCAAUCAGUGAGGAAAUCCAGGUUGAAAUGGCAAGAAGUGAUUCAGAACAAGGGAAAUAUGAUCAAAAAGCCCCAUGGAACAAGAGAGCCCAAAACCUCAGGCCUGUGAAGAUCAAGAAAGAAACUAAAGAGAAAACUCAAAACAUCCCAGGAGGCUUGACAAAAAAGCCUUCACCUCCAGCUCAGCCAUUGCAGAAGCAGGUGGAAGAUAACACAAAGAAACAGAAGUUUAAAACUUACUUUUCUGAAAAUGUGCAGAGCAAAGAAGAAAAGGCAGACCAGGAAGCUGUAGGUGGAACUGCAGUUGUCCAAAGUGAAGAUUAUCUGUCUCAAGUUUAUGGGAAACCCAUUUACCACGGCCACCGGAGCACGCUUAAAAAAGGACCCUACCUGAGAUUCAACUCUCCCUCUCCCAAAUCUAAACUUCCCAGACCCAAGCUGAUAGAGACUGUUAGAGGCACAAAGGUGAAGUCAGCAAGGACCCAGACCUGCUCUCACACACAGAGGAUCAUCAGCAGCCCCAAGAAGAAGAAGAAUCCUGUGUGUGCCCCUGCCCAGCAGAGCCAGUACCUCUUCAGCCCCAGCCAGGAUGUCCCUGCUACCCCUGGUCCUCUGGAAGGCCACCUCAUCCCCAUGGCCAUUCCACUAGGUCAAACCCAAAGCAGCAACACAUCAUUGCAGCCUGCUUCAGUAAUCAUAGAUAAACCACACCCUGUCACAGUUACAACCUCCCUUCCUCCAGUGCCACCAAAGCCUCCAGUCGAGGUUAAAAAACCAAAUAUUGCUGUGAUAGAGAUGAAAUCAGAGAAAAAGGAACCACCUCAGCUCUCUGUGCAGGUGUUACCAAGUGUUGAUAUUGACAGUGUUUCAAGUGCCAGUGGGACUGUAAGUCCUGUUCCUCCAAGCUCUGAACCUCUGCUCUCUCCUGUCAAUGCUGUAAUACAGAAUCCAGAAGAAAUACACAGCGAAGAGGAAGACACAAAGCUUCCAGGAGCUAACUUCAUUGAUGUUACUGAUGUCACACAGGAUCAGGAAGAGGAGAAGGAUGAAAUUCCAGAAUUCCUUGAGCCUGUUGUGGAGCUCAGUGGCCAGUUUAAAGUUGCCUCUCCACAGCACAAUGGUCCUUUGUUUCCUCCAGUGGCUUCUGCUCCUCAGCAGCCUGCUGAUAUUUUGGAUGAACUGAUUCAAAAGAGAGAAACUAUAGAAAACAAGCUGGUAAAUUGGGUGGAACAAGAAAUAAUGGCAAAAAUUAUCAGUGAGAUGUGCCCAGCUCAGACAGAAACAGUGCCCAGCAUUAGCAGCUCCAUAAAGAGUGAAGACAGUGAGGCUGGAACCCCUGGCAUUGUUGAAGUUGCAGGUGGUGGAGGAUUCCAGCUCUUUGUCAAUGCUGGUGUCCCUGUGGACUCAGAAAUGAUAAAUCAUUUUGUGAAGGAAGCUCUCAGUGAAACCAUUGCAACCAUGCUGGGUGACAGCCAGGCUUGCAGAGCAGCUCCUGAUCCUCCUCCUCCUCCUCCCAGCACCACCUUAGUGAUGGAGGCUCCUGUGCCUACUCCAGUGCCAACACCCCAGGCCACACCACCACCAACACCACCUUCAGAAAAAGAACUGCCUCAGGUGAAAACUCCAGAUUCAUCUCCAUCUCCUCCAGAGAUGAGUGAGGAUGUUCAUGGACAUGAAAAAAUUAAAGAAACAGGAGCUGAGAUUGCAGCUGCCAUGGGCCGUGUUGUCACCCCUGUGGUCACCCCUGUGGUCACCCCUGUCACCACACCUCCCCCAGUAGCCACACCGAGCCCUCCUGCCUCAGAAUGGGACUUCCAGGCUGAAAAAAGGGAAAGUCCAAAGCUUCCAAACCCGUGGGAUGGUGCAGAACUUCCUCUGGAAGAAGAGAACCCCAGUCCUGUCCCUGAAGAGCCAUUCUGUCCUAAGACUGUGGAGAUGUCAGUGGCCAAUGAUGAGGAGCCAGAAGCCUUGGUUUGCCCAUCUCAGCAGCUGCCAGGGAGGCUCUGUGAGCCCCUGCCCUGCCCUGCCCAGGUGCCAUCCCCUGUGCCCACGGUGAGCUCUGGGGUGUCCACCCAGGAGAGCAGCCUCACCCCCCCAGGGACUAAGACCACGGACAGACCCCUUUCAGAAGGGGAGGUGCUCUUCCCCUAUGGACAGCCACUGCCUGCAGCAGCCUUAGCAGAAGGAGGAUUAUCUCUUCCAAGCCUUGCUGAGAGCUUAUCCAGUACUCUCCGAGAUGCCAAUGAGAUGGAUUAUGAUCCUCCAAGUGAAGGGCAGGUGGUGAGGAGAAUGGGUAAAGGCUGUCACAGGGAUCCUGUCCUGGCUCUUCUAACCAGAUUAAACCAAGCACCUGUUUUUGUACAAGAAAGAAUAGAGCAGUUGGAGGAUUCUGAUGGCAGCAUUGGGGAGCUCAGUGAAGGUCAGAGGCCAAGGCUGUCCAGAGCACAGGAGAGAAUCCUGAUGGGAAAUUCCAUUUUUAUGGAGCAUCCAGCUGCUCAGAGCUUUGGGAACAGACCACGCCAGGGGCUCCGUUCUGCAUCUCCAGGGCAGCUUGCCCAAAUUGGUGCAGAAAUUUUUGGAGAUGCAGAUACAAGUCCUAGUCCAAUGUUUUUGGCUGAACUGGAGUCACAGCCAGGUUCAAAUCUUCUGCCAGCAGCCCAGCCAGGCUGCAGAAUGACACCACUCCCAGAAGAUCUGUCCCAGGAGGAAAGCCAAGGAGCUGCACACGUUCAGGCUGUGAGACCCCGAGUUAUCUUUGUGAGAAGGAAAUCUGAGGAGAUGCAACAAGAAGGUUAAUAAAGGCAAAACUUCAGUCAUUGACUUCAAACCAGUCGGAGCUCAGGAACUGAAUUUAAAUCCCAGCUUGGAAGACAUCUCUCCAUCAGGGGUGAGAGCUACUGCCACAAAUCACUCUGUCCCUGCUUUUGUGUGUGGAUAUUUUGGUGCUCCCUGUGCUCUCUGCCAUUCAAGGACCUUCCAACUACCAGAGCAGUGUGGUUGCUGUAAUUUCUGUGUGGGGUUACUCCUCAUCCAGCGAGGAGAUGAGAUCAGCCUUGAUUCCAGCCUCAUUUCCCAGCCACUUUGCAGCUCCUCAGCAGCUUUGCCUGGAGCAGAGGAGUAUUUUUCAUCUCUGCUGAGUUUACACGAGGUGAAUUCUCAGAGCUGCCAGCGCCGGCGAACUUCCCAGGCAGCAGCAGAGACAUUCCUGCCUCUGAGUGAAAACCCAAGGCUGGAUUGGAUUUCUCUUGUUUCACUAAUUGGCUCAGCACUGUGGUUGGUAUUUAUGGCUUUUGUGCUGCUCCUGGAUUUCUCGCUCUGUCUGGUUUGUUGUGCUGCUCCUACGAAACACGGGAAUAUCAUGCUCUCUUUGGGAUAUGCCAACAACUCGAGGAGUGGACCAACUUCAGCUGCCCAGGCUCCCCUGCUUGCCAGGACCAGCAGCACUGGCACCCCACUUGGAAGGACACAGCAGGACUGCUCCCAAGGGACAUGGAUCGUGCCACUUUUGGAGCCUUAAGCCAGCCCUAAACCCCAGGCCUGGAUUAUUCCUGCAGGAAUCUUGUGUAAACCCUCCUCUGCUGAAGAGCUCAUUUCCCAUCCAGGCUGAAGUGGACAGAAGAGUGGAAAAAAAAUUCAGCUUUUGUGCUGCUGGAUCCAAGUCUCCGUCUGUGUUUAAGAGCUUGGCUACUAAAACCAGGGAUGGGGAAGCCUGGUUAACCCAUGCCUGGCAGCCAAAAUCUGCAUGUGGCUGUGCCUGUCCUGGCUCUGGGGGUGGGAAGACAGAGGUGCUCCAGACUUCUUUAUUUUUAGGUGCCAUCAGUACAGAUAAAAUCAGACUUUGCUGCUGAUUUAGAUGAAAUUUGACCAGCAACACCGUUCCCAGCCUAAUUUUAUACCUUUUUGACUCUCCCCUGUAUUCCUGCCCUUAAAAUGUUUUAUGGAUUAUGUAGCUCCUGCCAAAGGAUUUGAGUUUGAAACCUUACUGUAUUUUGGCCUGUAAAGAUGUUGAAUGAACAGUUUAAAACUCUGAGUCAUUAAAACUGUCUGGGAGAACCUAAUGAAUG
Molecule: RNA transcript, 5998 nt
Organism: Passer montanus (Eurasian tree sparrow)
Lineage: Eukaryota; Metazoa; Chordata; Aves; Passeriformes; Passeridae
Gene name: KIAA0586 ortholog
Exons: 33
Source: RefSeq, a predicted model, not a curated record